GACGAACGCUGGCGGCGUGCCUAAUACAUGCAAGUCGAACGCUUUGAUUUUCACCGGAGCUUGCUCCGCCGAAAAUCAAAGAGUGGCGGACGGGUGAGUAACACGUGGGCAACCUGCCCAACAGAGGGGGAUAACACUUGGAAACAGGUGCUAAUACCGCAUAAUUUGUUUUUCCGCAUGGAAGAAUAAUAAAAGACGCUUCGGUGUCACUGUUGGAUGGGCCCGCGCUGCAUUAGUUAGUUGGUGGGGUAACGGCCUACCAAGACCAUGAUGCAUAGCCGACCUGAGAGGGUGAUCGGCCACACUGGGACUGAGACACGGCCCAGACUCCUACGGGAGGCAGCAGUAGGGAAUCUUCGGCAAUGGACGAAAGUCUGACCGAGCAACGCCGCGUGAGUGAAGAAGGUUUUCGGAUCGUAAAACUCUGUUGUUAGAGAAGAACAAGUGAGAGAGUUACUGUUCUCACCUUGACGGUAUCUAACCAGAAAGCCACGGCUAACUACGUGCCAGCAGCCGCGGUAAUACGUAGGUGGCAAGCGUUGUCCGGAUUUAUUGGGCGUAAAGCGAGCGCAGGCGGUUUCUUAAGUCUGAUGUGAAAGCCCUCGGCUCAACCGAGGAAGGUCAUUGGAAACUGGGGAACUUGGGUGCAGAAGAGGAGAGUGGAAUUCCAUGUGUAGCGGUGAAAUGCGUAGAUAUAUGGAGGAACACCAGUGGCGAAGGCGACUCUCUGGUCUGUAACUGACGCUGAGGCUCGAAAGCGUGGGGAGCAAACAGG
Molecule: ribosomal RNA, 775 nt
Filed under: uncultured bacterium
Lineage: Bacteria
Description: bacterial SSU rRNA
Rfam family: Bacterial small subunit ribosomal RNA
Source: RNAcentral